This 253-nucleotide ribosomal RNA is filed under the name Anaerosporobacter mobilis. Its description in RNAcentral is "partial 16S ribosomal RNA". It matches the Rfam family "Bacterial small subunit ribosomal RNA", at positions 524 to 776 of the family's 1533-position model. Lineage: Bacteria; Bacillati; Bacillota; Clostridia; Lachnospirales; Lachnospiraceae. The record is from RNAcentral.
UACGUAUGGUGCAAGCGUUAUCCGGAUUUACUGGGUGUAAAGGGAGCGUAGGUGGCUACGCAAGUCAGAAGUGAAAGCCCGGGGCUUAACCUCGGGACUGCUUUUGAAACUGUGUAGCUAGAGUGCAGGAGAGGUAAGUGGAAUUCCUAGUGUAGCGGUGAAAUGCGUAGAUAUUAGGAGGAACACCGGUGGCGAAGGCGGCUUACUGGACUGUAACUGACACUGAGGCUCGAAAGCGUGGGGAGCAAACAGG